CCUACGGGUGGCAGCAGUGAGGAAUAUUGGUCAAUGGCCGUAAGGCUGAACCAGCCAAGUAGCGUGAGGGAAGACUGCCCUAUGGGUUGUAAACCUCUUUUAUGCGGGGAUAAAGGUGUCCACGUGUGGAUGUUUGCAGGUACCGCAUGAAUAAGGACCGGCUAAUUCCGUGCCAGCAGCCGCGGUAAUACGGAAGGUCCGGGCGUUAUCCGGAUUUAUUGGGUUUAAAGGGAGCGUAGGUCGGUCUUUAAGCGUGCCGGGAAAUUUUGUGGCUCAACCAUGAGAGUGCGGCGCGAACUGGCGACCUUGAGUGCGCGGAAGGCAGGCGGAAGUCGUGGUGUAGCGGUGAAAUGCUUAGAUAUCACGAAGAACCCCGAUUGCGAAGGCAGCCUGCCGCAGCGUUACUGACGCUGAAGCUCGAAAGCGUGGGUAUCGAACAGGAUUAGAUACCCGGGUAGUC
Molecule: ribosomal RNA, 460 nt
Filed under: uncultured bacterium
Lineage: Bacteria
Description: partial 16S ribosomal RNA
Rfam family: Bacterial small subunit ribosomal RNA
Source: RNAcentral